CCUCUACUCAUCUCCUGAAGCUGGUGAGCUUCUUGUCCUCUGCCUUUGGCUCUGAACAAUUGGUAUCUUCUGUACUUUAAGGUGACAGCUUUUGCAACCUACAGAGAAGGUUCUGUGAUCCACUUAGUCCUGAGAUGUAGCAUGCUUGUCUACUUGAAAGGCUCAGGUCUGGAUAAGAAAACACCCUGGGAACAUCAGCAGGACAUGUGGGAAGCAGAGCAAUAAGGAAGAUCAGGCAAUCACAGAGGUUGCUCAUGCAGCAUUUCUCUUCUUUCCAACAGGUAUUCUGAAGCACCUUAAAGCCUCUACUCCUUAGUUAAACACUUAAAUGGUUACUGUCUCCAGGGAGCAUCAUCAACAGAUGUUAAUUACAACUCUUGGGUUGCUAUUACUUAAUCUAGCCUACCAAAUGUACUACUUCACAGCAAUAGAAAAAG
Long non-coding RNA from Passer domesticus (house sparrow), 437 nucleotides. RefSeq lists it as uncharacterized. NCBI's taxonomy places the organism in Eukaryota, Metazoa, Chordata, Aves, Passeriformes, Passeridae. The record is from RefSeq and is a predicted model, not a curated record. The transcript has 3 exons.